RNAcentral lists this small RNA (126 nucleotides) under Marmota monax (woodchuck). The record is from RNAcentral. Lineage: Eukaryota; Metazoa; Chordata; Mammalia; Rodentia; Sciuridae.
GCCGGGCGCAGUGGCACACGCCUGUAACUCCAUGCCUCGAGAGGCUGAGGCUGGAGGAUCACAAGUUCAGAGCCAGCCUCAGCAACUUAGUGAGGCCCUCAGAAACUCAGUGAGACCCUGUCUCUA